UUCCCCAUCAGUUCAUAACUUUAGAUUUACUCAAAAUGAAUGGCAAUCCAUGCUAGUAAUUUCCUCAUUUGCCUAAAGUAUUUACUAGUAGUAGAGUAAAAUCUUUGACUAUUCUCCAUAGGUUUUUCAUUUGGGCAAAUACUACUUUCAAUAUGACAUUAUAGAAACAGCUGGAUAUUUCAGUUCAUAAAGUGUUUUUGAAAUAGACAAAAGAGUAAAUUUUGGAGUGGGCCCAUUUUGCUCUCUUUUUAUAGGAAAUGGACAUAGACUUAUUCUCCUUUCACUGGUAGCAUGACCUACAUAAAUUGUGUGUGGCUGUGAUUUUCUCAUUUUCCCCAGUGAGACGGAAAAAGUUCCCCUCCCCCAUUGCCCUCCUGCUGCCACAAAAGGGGAAAAAAUGAUCACAGGAGCUUUGAAUACAAUUUUUUUGAGCUUGUUUUUUUUCCUCACCUUAGGUGACCAGAUCGAUAGACCAUCCAGCAGCUGAGAAAAUAUCAGAUGACUGGCAUACAGCCAGAGGCAGUUUCUGUUGUGCAGUGAGAGUCCAUUCUGAUAUCACAAAAUUGGAAAUAAAUGGAACUAUGCCAAAAUUCUCUCUUCAAAGAAGAAAAAUAAGAGGCAUAAAUAUUGGCUUGAAAUACGAUAGAAUGCAAGAACUUUUGCUUUGGCAGUAGAACAGUUUUAUAAGAAUUGAGGCUAAUUUCAUAAUCUUUAGCAAUGCAGAUAUGUAUCUUUAGUCUCAUGAAGAUUGUAAUUCCUUGCCAAGGUUCAUGGUGGAUUCUAUUAACAGACUGAAAAUAUUCAGCAUCUACACAAAGAGACAGAUCUGUUCGUAGACAACUAAAUCUUAUUAAGAGAAGAAAUUUGAACCCUUUAACCAGCAGUGGGCCUCUACCUACGGUCUAAUGCGACCUGGUGGCAU
RNAcentral lists this long non-coding RNA (922 nucleotides) under Homo sapiens (human). RNAcentral describes it as "HSALNT0323883". Lineage: Eukaryota; Metazoa; Chordata; Mammalia; Primates; Hominidae. The record is from RNAcentral.